Molecule: ribosomal RNA, 501 nt
Filed under: uncultured bacterium
Lineage: Bacteria
Description: bacterial SSU rRNA
Rfam family: Bacterial small subunit ribosomal RNA
Source: RNAcentral
AGUUUGAUCCUGGCUCAGGACGAACGCUGGCGGCGUGCUUAACACAUGCAAGUCGGACGGUAAGGCCCCUUUCGGGGGUACACGAGUGGCGAACGGGUGAGUAACACGUGAGGAACGUGCCCUUGACUUCGGUAUAGCUCCAGGAAACUGGUGGUAAUCCCGAAUAUGAGCCUGGCCUGCAUGGGUUGGGUUGGAAAGCUUUAUGCGGUCAGGGAUCGUCUCGCGGCCUAUCAGCUUGUUGGUGGGGUAAUGGCCUACCAAGGCAGCGACGGGUAGCCGGCCUGAGAGGGUGACCGGCCACAUUGGGACUGAGAUACGGCCCAGACUCCUACGGGAGGCAGCAGUGGGGAAUAUUGCACAAUGGGCGCAAGCCUGAUGCAGCAACGCCGCGUGCGGGAUGACGGCCUUCGGGUUGUAAACCGCUUUCAUCCAUGACGAAGCGCAAGUGACGGUAGUGGGAGAAGAAGCACCGGCUAACUACGUGCCAGCAGCCGCGGUAAU